AGGUCUAGCCUGCCCAGUGAUAAAAUUAAACGGCCGCGGUACCCUGACCGUGCGAAGGUAGCAUAAUCACUUGUUCUCUAAAUAAGGACUCGUAUCAACGGCAUCACGAGGGUUACACUGUCUCCCCCUUCUAAUCAGUGAAACUGACUUUCCCGUGAAGAGGCGGGAAUUAUUCUACAAGACGAGAAGACCCCAUGGAGCUUUAAACCCAAAGUGCCUAUUGGUUUUAGGUUGGGGUGACCGCGGAGUAAAACUUAGCCUCCUCUUAAUCUCAGAGCUACCGCUCCAAGAAUCAAAAAUUUGACGCAGCCUGAUCCCAACGAACCAAGUUACCCUGGGGAUAACAGCGCAAUCCAUUUUAAGAGCCCCUAUCGACAAAUGGGUUUACGACCUCGAUGUUGGAUCAGGGUAUCCCAGUGGUGCAGCCGCUACUAAAG
This 437-nucleotide ribosomal RNA is filed under the name Limnonectes gyldenstolpei. RNAcentral describes it as "partial 16S ribosomal RNA". It matches the Rfam family "Bacterial large subunit ribosomal RNA", at positions 1850 to 2570 of the family's 2925-position model. Lineage: Eukaryota; Metazoa; Chordata; Amphibia; Anura; Dicroglossidae. The record is from RNAcentral.